RNAcentral lists this long non-coding RNA (1892 nucleotides) under Sarcophilus harrisii (Tasmanian devil). Its description in RNAcentral is "lncRNA (ENSSHAG00000022252.1)". Lineage: Eukaryota; Metazoa; Chordata; Mammalia; Dasyuromorphia; Dasyuridae. The record is from RNAcentral.
AUGUAUAACAGUUUAAUCAGCAGACAAGAAUGUUUUCAGAGGGGAAAGAAAUUAUAUAUCAUAUUUCAAAUUAAAUCUUUCAGUUUUAUAAUUAUAACAUACCUAAAAAUUACAAAUUCACCAAAAAUAAUCAAAAAAUACAUUUUUGAAGUAAGAAAAGUUACAUUUAAUUUCCUUGCUAUUCAAGGGGAAAGUGGUUUUAGAGUACUUCCUUUAAUAACUGAGAAUAAAGGCAAUAUCCCUUAGGUAUAAUUAAUAACUUGGAAUCAGACUACAAUUAUUCAAAUUAAGCUGACUUUCUAAGUUUUCUUGAAUUGGGAAAUUGUUUCACUCUGUCUUUUUUGUGGGUUCUGUUGUUCUAGAAUUUGUUCAGUCACUACUGCUAUCUUGGCCCCACUCCUAUAAUUUCUUGUAAUAUGAUUUCUAGGCUCUUUCUUUUAUUCUGAGUUUUAUGUAGCUCAAUAAUUCUUAAAUAAUGUAUCCUUGAUCUAUUUUUUUUCAUGAAAGUUGUUUUUCUAAUAUUUAUUGUUUCUUGAUGUCUCAUGGAGUCAACAACUUUUACUUGCCAAAAUCAAAUUUUAAAGGAAUUAUUUUCUUCCGUGAACUUUUGCACUGCUUUUUUUUUUCCCAUUUGGCAAAUUGUGUGUGUGUGUGUGUGUGUGUGUGUGUGUGUAUUAAGGAAUUGUUUUCAUUAGUACAUUUUUGUAUCUUUUUUUCCAUUUGGCCAAAUUGUUUUCAAAGUGUUAGUUUCUUUAGUAUUUUUUUCAUGUGACUCUUUUAUUAAGCUGUUGUCACUCCAUUUUUUUUUUUCACUCUUAUUGCUUUACCUAAUUCUUCCUCUUUCAUUCUUAUUUUAUUUUGAAGAUUUUUUUUAGCUCUUUGAAGAAUUCUUCUUGGCUUUUAUUUAAUUUAUUUUUUUUUUUUAAAUUGAGACUUUGCUUAUGUCUGUUUUCUGAAUUUGUGUCUUAAACUUCCCUGUCACCUUCGUAGCUUAUUUAAUAUUUAAUUAAAUACAGGAACUUAUCUAUAGUUGGCCCAGAGUUAGAAAGAGGGAACAGAGCCUUCUGGCCCUGCAUUAAUCAGGAAACUUGUAGAUAUAAGACUUUACUAACGUCUUCCUUCUGGAAGCUUUAUAGGCCUGAACCUCAAGGUGAGGUUCUUCAACAAAAUUCAACAAUUUAACUUGUUGAUCUCCUUAUUUGAUAAUAAAGAUCAACAUAGCUUUAAUGCUUAUAUUUUGACCAAAUAUUUGAGGGAUAGAAUUUAAUAGGUUCUAGUCCCUUUUUCAGUUUUAUCUAGAUUGCUUCAGUGAUGAGCUUGUAAAAUAUAACCCUUGUUAUAUUCUUCUCCCAUUUUGGGGGUUACUUCCCAAUGUCUGAACAAGUUAUUUGGGUGCUGUGGGUAAAAUUUGGAAAUGAGACUUCCCUACAUCCUAUGGGACUUGGUUUACUUUAAAUAAAUAACUGUGUCCAUAGAUAAUAAAAUUUUUCUAGCAUUAACAUAAGUGGUUUGAAUUUACAAUAACUUAAUACUGGUUGUAAAACGCAACUUUAAAUGUUUUUAAAUUGUUUGCAUCUGUUGUUUGCCUAUCCAAUCAGAGGAAGAGUGUAAAUGAAGGUAUUUAAUUACUGUUUUCUUUUCUAGAUUCUCAAUAAAAUAAUUGCUGACGAAUUCUGUUUGCCCAGAAAAUGCCUUUCAGAAUUGUUUAGAAUAAAAAGAAAAGAAAAAAGGAGAUUAUUUUUUAUACCCUCACUUCAAAGUCAAUGUUUUAGAAUCAUAGAUGUUUUGAAAGCCCAAUAUCAUACAAUUACAUGUUAUGAUUUGAUUUGUUCUGUACUUUUUAAUAAUAAAUAUUGGUAUAUUAAUAGAAAAUAUAAAGUUCCAUUUAUUCU